AAUAGAUCCCUGGUAGUCCAUGCCGUAAACGUUGGGCACUAGGUGUGGGACUCACUCAACGGGUUCCGUGCCGUAGCUAACGCAUUAAGUGCCCCGCCUGGGGAGUACGGCCGCAAGGCUAAAACUCAAAGGAAUUGACGGGGGCCCGCACAAGCAGCGGAGCAUGUUGCUUAAUUCGAGGCAACGCGAAGAACCUUACCUGGGUUUGACAUGUACGGAAAAGCCGCAGAGAUGCGGUGUCCUUUUGGGCCGUACACAGGUGGUGCAUGGUUGUCGUCAGCUCGUGUCGUGAGAUGUUGGGUUAAGUCCCGCAACGAGCGCAACCCUUGUCCUAUGUUGCCAGCGGGUAAUGCCGGGGACUCGUAGGAGACUGCCGGGGACAACUCGGAGGAAGGUGGGGAUGACGUCAAAUCAUCAUGCCCCUUAUGUCCAGGGCUGCAAACAUGCUACAAUGGCCAGUACAAAGGGCUGCUAUACCGCGAGGUUGAGCGAAUCCCAUAAAGCUGGUCUCAGUUCGGAUUGGAGU
RNAcentral lists this ribosomal RNA (526 nucleotides) under uncultured bacterium. RNAcentral's name for it is "bacterial SSU rRNA". It matches the Rfam family "Bacterial small subunit ribosomal RNA", at positions 777 to 1304 of the family's 1533-position model. The record is from RNAcentral.